Molecule: ribosomal RNA, 584 nt
Filed under: uncultured bacterium
Lineage: Bacteria
Description: bacterial SSU rRNA
Rfam family: Bacterial small subunit ribosomal RNA (bases 1-521)
Source: RNAcentral
CCUACGGGAGGCAGCAGUAAGGGAAUCUUCCACAAUGGACGAAAGUCUGAUGGAGCAACGCCGCGUGCAGGAUGAAGGCUUUCGGGUCGUAAACUGCUUUUAUAUGGGAAGAUUAUGACGGUACCAUAUGAAUAAGGACCGGCUAACUACGUGCCAGCAGCCGCGGUAAUACGUAGGGUCCAAGCGAUAUCCGGAAUUACUGGGCGUAAAGCGUGUGUAGGUGGAUUAAUAAGUGUGAUGCGAAAUCCGGCGGCUCAACCGUUUGGACUGUGUCGCAUACUGUUAGUCUAGAGGACGGCAGAGGUAAGUGGAAUUACGGGUGUAGCAGUGAAAUGCGUAGAUAUCCGUAGGAACACCAAUGGCGAAGGCAGCUUACUGGGCCACACCUGACACUGAGACACGAAAGCGUGGGGAGCGAACAGGAUUAGGAUACCCUGGUAGUCCACGCCGUAAACGAUGCAUACUAUUAGUAUGGGGUAUGACCCCCUGUGCUGAGAAGCUAACGCGAUAAGUAUGCCGCCGNGGAGAGAGNGCAGAUAACGUAAGAAGUAGAGNGNGAGACGNGCGAGAGACGACGAGGAGAG